GAUGAACGCUGGCGGCGUGCCUAAUACAUGCAAGUCGAGCGAACAGAUAAGGAGCUUGCUCCUUUGACGUUAGCGGCGGACGGGUGAGUAACACGUGGGUAACCUACCUAUAAGACUGGGAUAACUUCGGGAAACCGGAGCUAAUACCGGAUAACAUUUGGAACCGCAUGGUUCUAAAGUGAAAGAUGGUUUUGCUAUCACUUAUAGAUGGACUCGCGCCGUAUUAGCUAGUUGGUAAGGUAACGGCUUACCAAGGCGACGAUACGUAGCCGACCUGAGAGGGUGAUCGGCCACACUGGAACUGAGACACGGUCCAGACUCCUACGGGAGGCAGCAGUAGGGAAUCUUCCGCAAUGGGCGAAAGCCUGACGGAGCAACGCCGCGUGAGUGAUGAAGGGUUUCGGCUCGUAAAACUCUGUUAUUAGGGAAGAACAAAUGUGUAAGUAACUGUGCACGUCUUGACGGUACCUAAUCAGAAAGCCACGGCUAACUACGUG
RNAcentral lists this ribosomal RNA (497 nucleotides) under uncultured bacterium. RNAcentral's name for it is "partial 16S ribosomal RNA". It matches the Rfam family "Bacterial small subunit ribosomal RNA", at positions 28 to 507 of the family's 1533-position model. The record is from RNAcentral.